Molecule: ribosomal RNA, 1400 nt
Filed under: Lactiplantibacillus plantarum
Lineage: Bacteria; Bacillati; Bacillota; Bacilli; Lactobacillales; Lactobacillaceae
Description: bacterial SSU rRNA
Rfam family: Bacterial small subunit ribosomal RNA
Source: RNAcentral
GAACUCUGGUAUUGAUUGGUGCUUGCAUCAUGAUUUACAUUUGAGUGAGUGGCGAACUGGUGAGUAACACGUGGGAAACCUGCCCAGAAGCGGGGGAUAACACCUGGAAACAGAUGCUAAUACCGCAUAACAACUUGGACCGCAUGGUCCGAGUUUGAAAGAUGGCUUCGGCUAUCACUUUUGGAUGGUCCCGCGGCGUAUUAGCUAGAUGGUGGGGUAACGGCUCACCAUGGCAAUGAUACGUAGCCGACCUGAGAGGGUAAUCGGCCACAUUGGGACUGAGACACGGCCCAAACUCCUACGGGAGGCAGCAGUAGGGAAUCUUCCACAAUGGACGAAAGUCUGAUGGAGCAACGCCGCGUGAGUGAAGAAGGGUUUCGGCUCGUAAAACUCUGUUGUUAAAGAAGAACAUAUCUGAGAGUAACUGUUCAGGUAUUGACGGUAUUUAACCAGAAAGCCACGGCUAACUACGUGCCAGCAGCCGCGGUAAUACGUAGGUGGCAAGCGUUGUCCGGAUUUAUUGGGCGUAAAGCGAGCGCAGGCGGUUUUUUAAGUCUGAUGUGAAAGCCUUCGGCUCAACCGAAGAAGUGCAUCGGAAACUGGGAAACUUGAGUGCAGAAGAGGACAGUGGAACUCCAUGUGUAGCGGUGAAAUGCGUAGAUAUAUGGAAGAACACCAGUGGCGAAGGCGGCUGUCUGGUCUGUAACUGACGCUGAGGCUCGAAAGUAUGGGUAGCAAACAGGAUUAGAUACCCUGGUAGUCCAUACCGUAAACGAUGAAUGCUAAGUGUUGGAGGGUUUCCGCCCUUCAGUGCUGCAGCUAACGCAUUAAGCAUUCCGCCUGGGGAGUACGGCCGCAAGGCUGAAACUCAAAGGAAUUGACGGGGGCCCGCACAAGCGGUGGAGCAUGUGGUUUAAUUCGAAGCUACGCGAAGAACCUUACCAGGUCUUGACAUACUAUGCAAAUCUAAGAGAUUAGACGUUCCCUUCGGGGACAUGGAUACAGGUGGUGCAUGGUUGUCGUCAGCUCGUGUCGUGAGAUGUUGGGUUAAGUCCCGCAACGAGCGCAACCCUUAUUAUCAGUUGCCAGCAUUAAGUUGGGCACUCUGGUGAGACUGCCGGUGACAAACCGGAGGAAGGUGGGGAUGACGUCAAAUCAUCAUGCCCCUUAUGACCUGGGCUACACACGUGCUACAAUGGAUGGUACAACGAGUUGCGAACUCGCGAGAGUAAGCUAAUCUCUUAAAGCCAUUCUCAGUUCGGAUUGUAGGCUGCAACUCGCCUACAUGAAGUCGGAAUCGCUAGUAAUCGCGGAUCAGCAUGCCGCGGUGAAUACGUUCCCGGGCCUUGUACACACCGCCCGUCACACCAUGAGAGUUUGUAACACCCAAAGUCGGUGGG